AAAAACAGAGAGAAGCGAAUUCCCCUUCCACAGAGUGUCUCUCCCGUGAGGGCAUCGAUCGAUCGAAAUUUCCUCGAGCUCUUCCACAUUUUUCCUUCUCCCCUUCCCUAGGGCUUCCCCAGCCGCCGCCCGCACACAGACAGAGACGCUCGUCGCUCCGACUUACGCCCUCGACCUCCGCCACCGACCCCAGCCUCCGGACGGCGAGCGUCGCUUCGAUUCGGCCAUGCCUCUGGAGGUGUCCGAUGUUAACCUGGACCAACCAGACCUUUCGGAGGUACCAUGGGAGACGAGGCUCGCUCUGGCUGAACGGCCUUGUCCGUUGGUGGUGAACCCCGAACAGAGGGCCCUUAUUGAGCCAGCUAUGAAAAAUCUAGACAAGUAUAUGGAAGAAAUCAGAGAGUAUUGGAAGAAGAUCGAUGAGCUAAAUGCAACCCUUCCUGAGAAGGAUCAGUUCUUCACUGUUUCUAUUCAACCUCGAUGUCCAGAACCAGCUUCCUUUUUCACGUACUACCGACUCUAUGCAUUGGACAACACCAAUCCAACUCCCCUUACAAGCAAACGAUUCACAGCGCCAAGAAAAGACUACCCGGUAUUGACUAUGCUCCAAAUAUUCUCAUUCAGAUAUGUUGGCGACUUCCUGGGUGAUCAGAGCAUGCUAGUAUAUGGAUUCAUUGCUAUCCGGGAUGAGUUGGAUUGUCUGCGCAAUUACAUCUUCAACUGUACUAGAGAGCAGGCGCACGAGAUUACACCGGAUUCCCGGGCAUUGCCGCUCAUAUCUCCUGUUCGUGGGAACUCUAUUCUUGAUGGUGUUGUUCUUGAGUACAGCCUGAAGGUCAAGUCUAAUGGCAGUGACAACGCUGAGAUGGAUUAUGUAUUAGCUGAUGGUUGCAUUGAAUACACAGAUCAUAUGAUUCUGCGUGGUACUACACUGAAGUCGAGGCUUUUUGGCAAGCUUGGCCCUGUUGACUUCCAUUAUGCUUUCCUUAGGCAGGGCAUUGAAGCAACAAUUGACAUUGAGAUUCCAAUGGCUAGUCCAGCUUGGGGCCUGAAGGCAGUGACUGCUUUUACAAGUGGACUCUCAGAUGCAAUUGUGCUGUAUGAUGGGUCUACUAAUUCCUCUCCUACACAAUCAGUGUUCCCUAUAUCAUCAGUUGUUGCUGUUCAAUUGGGUCAUGAGCUAAAGCUUAAAUUUGACAUCACCUCCAAGGAUAUUGUGCCCAAGGGGUGUGCGAGGAGGUUCGUGCCCCAGAAGGCAGCGUCGGCGCAAUACCAAAGGCCUGAUGUUGUGAUGGAUGGAGAGGCGGAACCAAAGACAUAUUCCCGCUUCCUCACAUUCAUUUCACAGAAAUGUUCAUUUGACAGUGGUAAAGUCUCGAUCGGUGAUAAGUUCAAAGCUGAGGUUACAGUGACCUGGUCCACCAUGGGGCCGUAUUGAUCGGUGUUGCCUGACUGCGGUGAAUCAUGCCAGUUGCUUGAUUGUGUGGAGUGGAAACGGCAGAUAUCCUUCUUCGUGUUAGUCAUUAGUCAUCACUUGGCAGAUGGAUCACACUUUAAUUCAAUGUACCGUGCGCCAUUUGGAGUACUCUGAUCCGGCCUUUUGGAUAUAUGUUGUUCAGGUGACUGUUGAUUUGUUAUUCCUUUCCAAGAACUGUCUCUUUGCUUUGACUGGUUCUCACUCUCCUGGACGUUGAAAUCAAACUGAGAAGGGUUGAUUUUCUUCUUUUGAGUUGGAGAAGGUUUGAAUUCAAGGGUGUCUUAGUGUCUGUUUUUAGGCGAUGGAGUUAGCUGCUUCAUAUGGAAGUUAACGAUGACCCCUUUCGUAUCUAUUCUGGCUUGCUGCCAAUAUGAGGCGUUGUCUGGAGAUUGAUAGAUCAUGGAUAAGAAUCAUGUCCAUGUCGCCCUUUCGCAUUGAGGUUGAACCAUGAUAGAGUCGAUCAUGAUUUAGAUGGACUAGAGAGGCAGAUACCAUUGCCGAUACCGUCGCUCUUCUCAAUGUCCCCUUCAACUUUUUUUUAGAAAAGAGGCGCUUGCCUGGCUUUAUAAACGAACCGUACAAUUUCUUAUGUGACUUGCGUUCAGUUGGCAUACGCUUAUUUCCUGUACUCAGUAUCCGAGCUAAACUGAUUUCUAUGUUGGACUUGUGAGUUUUGUUUAGAUGGUUCAUGGAUCUAGUACUCAAAACUUGUGUCAUAUUGUACUCUCUGGCAAGUAAACUUUGGUGAUGCUUAUCCACGCCUUGCGGAC
RNAcentral lists this ribosomal RNA (2247 nucleotides) under Triticum aestivum (bread wheat). RNAcentral's name for it is "partial small subunit ribosomal RNA". The record is from RNAcentral. Lineage: Eukaryota; Viridiplantae; Streptophyta; Magnoliopsida; Poales; Poaceae.